UUACGGAUCAUAUAUAAAUAAUCAUAUUGGAGCCAUCGAUAGUGUCUGCUCUCGCUCAACGGCAGUGGCUGGAUUGGCUAUGCACUUAGCUUCGUUGUUCUUGGCAAGAACAAAGUUUCUUCUCUUAAAUAAGCUCUUCUUCUCCACCACCACUUCCACGAACCCACAAAAUACUUCUCUCAUUUCACACUAUUUUUCCCUUCUUCACUCUUCCCCUAACCCAACUCAUCUGCGCCACCUCCAUGCUCGCUUACUCCGCACCUCCCUAUACGACAAUGUAGUCCUCACUUCUAAGCUCGUUUUGAUGUAUUCCCAUCAUAACAAACUCAUCCCUCAUUCUCUUCCGGUUUUUUUUCACAUGCCAUGUAGAAAUAUCUACUCUUGGAACAUCAUAAUUGGUGAGUUUUCUCGGUCGAAUUUUCCCGAGAAAUCUUUAGACUUGUUUCUUCAAAUGUGGAGGGGAUCCCAUGUUCGACCCGAUGACUUCUCUCUUCCUCUUGUUUUACGGGCGUGUGCUGGCUCGGGAUCGGUGGAACUUGGGAAUUCAAUACAUGGAUUGUGUGUGAAAACGGGUUGGGCAGUGAGUUUAUUUGUUGCAUCUGCUUUGAUUUUUAUGUACGUUACUUUUGGCAAUUUGUUUUAUGCUAGAGUGUUGUUUGAUGGAAUGUCUAAGAGAGAUGCGGUGUUAUGGACUGCAAUUCUGGCUGGUUAUGCUCAACAUGGGGAACCAAUGUUGGGAUUGCAAGUGUUUAGGGAGAUGGUUGAUGUGGGUGUCACGCUUGAUGGGGUUGUUAUGGUGAGCUUGCUUUUGGUGUGUGGUCAAUUGGGGUGCUUAAAGCAUGGAAAAAGUGUUCAUGGGUGGUGUGUGAGAAAUUGCUUGGUGUUCGAGUUAAGUUUAGGGAACGCCAUAGUCGAUAUGUACGUUAAAUGUGCAGCGCUAGCUUAUGCGCACAGAGUUUUCGUUGAAAUGACUGAAACAGACGUGUUUUCUUGGAGCUCUUUAAUUUUGGGUUACGGAUUGAGUGGCAAUGUUAGUAUUUCUUUGGCGCUUUUUGAUCAGAUGCAUAUGAGAGGGAUUAAACCCAAUGAUGUAACUUUUCUUGGUGUCUUAUCAGCGUGUGCCCAUGGGGGCUUGGUGGAGGAAGCACGUUCCCACUUCAAAAUGAUCAAACAUUAUGGGCUGUUGGCUGGAUUCAAACAUUAUUCUAGUAUGGUUGAUUGUCUAGGGAGAGCUGGGCUUUUGGAAGAGGCAGAGAGAUUUAUCGAAGAAAUGCCCAUGGAACCUGAUGAAGCAGUGCUAGGUGCCAUAUUAGCAGGAUGUAGAAUUCAUAAUAAUGUUGAGGUAGGAGAACGAAUUGCAAAGAAAUUAAUUAGGUUGAAGCCAGAGAAAGCUGGAUAUUAUGUGCUUUUGUCCAACAUGUAUGCAUCAGCGGGUAGAUAUGACGAGGCUGAGAUAAUUAGGGACUUGAUGAAAGAAAAGAAUGUCUCUAAGGUACCUGGGUAUAGCUUGAUUGAAUCAAAGAGUUCUUUUCCUCCAUCACAAAAUGAAGAUCUGGAUUUUCUUGAAAUCUGAUGAGUAAUUUUGUGUGAUAUACUUACAACGGCUCCAAUUGCUCUGUUGGAAUAGGAUACAAAAACAGAAUGCUACAGCGUUUAGUGAUAAGGUUAGUAUUACUAUGAUUACUAUGAGCAUAAUGCGUAUAACCUUUCAUAAUUGUAGACCUGCAGCAGUAAGUUGCAUGUUGAGGGAAAUCAUGACUUUGCAUUUUGGAGGAUGCUUUGUAUUGUAUAUCAUGACCUUAAGCACCACAUGUCUUUAUUAGCCUUAGCUCCAGCAUAACUUGAACACAUGACACUUCACUAUGUUGUAGUAGAAUUCUAAUUGCAAAGUCAAAGUGCUCAUUGUGCUUCUACGUCCCUACAAAACAUAGAAACAAAAAGUAAAUAUAUAGAUAAGAAAAGGGAAAAGGAAAUUAAGUACUCAUUGUGCUUUUAACAGUUUCUUUUCUGACUAGGGGAUUUAGGGCGUUCAUAAUAUUUAUUUUGUUGAAAAAUGUUUAUUCUG
This 2065-nucleotide unclassified non-coding RNA is filed under the name Hevea brasiliensis (rubber tree). Lineage: Eukaryota; Viridiplantae; Streptophyta; Magnoliopsida; Malpighiales; Euphorbiaceae. The record is from RNAcentral.